AAGAGUACUACUAAUAGGCAGAAGUAUCAACCCCUAUCUCUAGAUCGAUGGUACGGAACAAAAUUAGAUGCAUGUAGGGUGAGCGCCAUGUUGAGAUAGCACUACUUUUUGAUAAUUGAUUAUCUCUCACUUAAUUCGCUCUCUUUCACAGAGUCUACUAUGUUUCGGAAAACAUAUUAAUAGUAUUGUUUCUAAAAUGUUGAUUAAGAUCGUAUCGUUUCUUGAGGCUGAAGCUGUGUUGCAGAUUGAUGAUGGAAUUCGAACAGGCUUUCCGAGGACAAGGUUGUGCGGUUUUUGUUCAGUUCUACAUGGAAAAUGAUGGGACACACCCUCCUUUGGAUUUGUGGGAGCUGGCUUCAAAUUAUGUCUAAGUCUUUUUAGCCAAGGCAAUGUGUAGUUCAUGAUAUGCGAGAACAUUUUUUGCGUAAUGCCAUCCAAGAAUGUCAUGUGUGCUGGGGUC
This is a long non-coding RNA of Hordeum vulgare subsp. vulgare (domesticated barley), 460 nucleotides long. RefSeq lists it as uncharacterized. The transcript has 2 exons. Lineage: Eukaryota; Viridiplantae; Streptophyta; Magnoliopsida; Poales; Poaceae. The record is from RefSeq and is a predicted model, not a curated record.